AUUGAACGCUGGCGGCAGGCCUAACACAUGCAAGUCGAGCGAGCGGCGGCCGGGUGAGUAAUGUCUGGGAAACUGCCUGAUGGAGGGGGAUAACUACUGGAAAAGGUAGCUAAUACCGCAUACCAUCAGAUGUGCCCAGAUGGGAUUAGCUAGUAGGUGGGGGAACGGCUAACCUAGGCGACGAUCCCUUGCUGGUCUGAGAGGAUGACCAGCCACACUGGACCUGAGACACGGUCCAGACUCCGACGGGAGGCAGCAGUGGGGAAUAUUGCACAAUGGGCUCAACCCUGAUGCAGCCAUGCCGCGUGUGUGAAGAAGGCCUUCGGGUUGUAAAGCACGUUCAGCGGGGAGGCGUUACCCGCAGAAGAAGCACCGGCUAACUCCGUGCCAGCAGCCGCGGUAAUAC
Molecule: ribosomal RNA, 406 nt
Filed under: uncultured bacterium
Lineage: Bacteria
Description: partial 16S ribosomal RNA
Rfam family: Bacterial small subunit ribosomal RNA
Source: RNAcentral